This 457-nucleotide ribosomal RNA is filed under the name uncultured bacterium. RNAcentral describes it as "partial 16S ribosomal RNA". It matches the Rfam family "Bacterial small subunit ribosomal RNA", at positions 338 to 795 of the family's 1533-position model. The record is from RNAcentral.
CCUACGGGAGGCAGCAGUGGGGAAUAUUGCACAAUGGGGGAAACCCUGAUGCAGCGACGCCGCGUGAGUGAAGAAGUAUUUCGGUACGUAAAGCUCUAUCAGCAGGGAAGAAAAAAAGUCCUUUGGACUUUGGACGGUACCUGACCAAGAAGCCCCGGCUAACUACGUGCCAGCAGCCGAGGUAAUACGUAGGGUGCAAGCGUUAUCCGGAUUUAAUGGGUGUAAAGGGAGCGUAGACGGCAGCGCAAGUCUGGAGGGAAAUGCCGGGGCCCAACCCCGGAACUGCUUUGGAAACUGUGCAGCCGGAGUGCAGGGGAGGUAAGCGGAAUUCCUAGUGUAGCGGUGAAAUGCGGAGAUAUUAGGAGGAACACCAGUGGCGAAGGUGGCUUACUGGACUGUAACUGACGUUGAGGCUCGAAAGCGUGGGGAGCAAACAGGAUUAGAUACCCCUGUAGUC